RNAcentral lists this long non-coding RNA (5194 nucleotides) under Populus tremula. RNAcentral's name for it is "long non-coding RNA (PTRE_LNC002474)". The record is from RNAcentral. Lineage: Eukaryota; Viridiplantae; Streptophyta; Magnoliopsida; Malpighiales; Salicaceae.
ACACAAAGAAGAAACCUGAUCCUGAUAAUCAAGAUGGCAGUGAUACUGAGGAUGAUGAAGGGGAUGAUGACGAUGAUGGCCAAGAUGAUCAGGAUGAUGAUGAUGAUGAUGAUGAAGGUGCUGAUGAGGAUGAGCCUGGCAAAGACAGCGAGGAUGGUGGGGAUCCAGAGGAUGAGCCUGAAGCCAAUGGUGAUGGUGGCAGCAGUGACGACGACGAUGACGAAGAUGACGACGACGACGACAAUGAUGAGGAAGAAGACGAGGAGGAGGACGAGGAAGAUAUUCCCCAGCCACCAGCUAAGAGGAGGAAAUGAGGCUAAAAUCAUCUUUUUUCAUAUUUUGUUUUACCUUUUCUUGUUAGGGUGGGAGUUUGGGUUAAAUAGGGAGUGUAGACUGGGAGGAUUCAGGGUGUCUUAUCUGCAUCAUGGUAAAAAAGAUUGUGGUAUUUUUGUGGACACAUAUUGGUAUUUCUAAUGUUUAGAAUUCAGUAGGUAUUUAUUCACAGUUGCAUAUUUCCCUGUGUUAUACUGAGUUCACCUGUGUUCAAGAGUAGAAUCUUGGGAUCCUGCAAGCUACAAUUGUCGGUGGAUUCAUGGGGAAUGGUGCUGCCAUUGCCACUGUUUCUACCAAAGAUUGAACCCUGGCAGCGGUGCCGGUACAUUGCUAGCUUGGCAGCAUUGUCCGUAUAAUUUAUGGCAACGAUUUGUUCGUUGAAUCUUGUGGAGCUCUUCAAUUUUUCUGCACUGCAAUGUCUUCGUAAACAUUUUAAUAAAUCAGGCGUAGGUUAAACCGGACAGCUUUCCAGUCAUGGCUAUAUGAGCAAUGGAACCGGCAUUGCCGUAACAAGCACUUUGUGUUUCAACAUUUUGAAGGGAAGCUCUUUAUGAGUUUUACCCUUGCAGGAUAGCAAAACCGAAAGGGAUUUUUUAUUGCUAAAUCCAUCCCCACACAAACUAGUAUCUAGACUAGGUAAUGUAGAUUUUUUGAAUGCAUUUUGAUAGUUAAAACAAAUCAAAAAAUAUAUUUUCAACGUAAUCAUAAUUUUCAAAUUCGAUCUGGAGAUUCACCAAGCUGAGGGAUCGAGUCUUAGGUUACAUGAUUUUAUUAAGAUUAAUUUAAAAAAAUUAAAAAAAAAAUAUUUAAAAUUUUAAUAUUUUAUAUAAAAAAAUUAAGAAAUAAUUCAUGUAAAUAUAGAUUAUACAUGUUGUAAAAUAACAUGAUAUUAGAAGGUAAAGUUAAAAUUUGUGAUAUAUUAUACCAGUUCUCCCGUGUGGACACAUUUUUCAACGCGUGUAGCACUGGACACAAAAUCAUUAGCCGCGGUGUAAUCAAUAGGAAAAUCACUAUAAGCUGGAUAUAAAGUAAAGAUUGAAGUGUUGUCUUUACAAAAAUUGAAAAAAAUUGAAAUGUUUUUAAGCUUUGAAUUAUUAUUUUUGUAUUGUUUAAUAUAAUCAUAUUAAAAAUAAAUUUUUUAAAAUAAAAAAAUUAUUUUAAUAUAUUUAUAAAUAAAUAAUAUUUUAAAAAAUAAUUUUUAUCAUAUUCUUAUAUAUAUAAUCAGAAUCAAAAUAUAUGACUUUCUUGUUAUUUAAGGUUUUGUUUUUCAACUAUUGAGUAAAAGAAUUGCUAAAUAUUUUCUUUGAGAACAAAUAAAUCACUUUUAAAUUUGAGGUGAGUAAGUCAAAACUUUAGUUUGAGUAAAAGUCUUUUUUUUUCCUUUCGAAUACACUCUAAAAAUGGAAUUUUAGUAGCAAUUGUAAUUAUGAAAUGUCAUUAUUAAAUAAUUUAUUUGAAUUGUUUUUUUUUAUGUAAUUACUAUUAAAAGUUAAAUUUAUUGUAGUAAGUAAAGCUAAGAAUACUUGAGUAGUUACUAAAUAAUGUGACAAUUUCUGACAGGUGUCCAUAAAUUAAUAAGUGUAACGCUAUACUAAUCGCGAGAAGCUAUCUUAUCAUGAUUUAAAAACAUUUUUCAAUUUUAAAAACUUUUACUUUUUUGUUUUGUUUUACAUUUUAAAAGCAUUUAUAAAAUGAGGCAAUGCAUGAUAAGAGUAUAUAAAUUCGAUGAUAAUAAUAUCAAAGUAACUGUGAAAAUCUACCCCAACAUGAUUUUAAAAACAUUUCCUUAAUAAAAGUUGUCAAAUCAAUUAAUAAUAAAAUUCAGUAAAAACCUCUAAUUGUUGAAAGCUAUUGAAAGCUAUGUUUAAAGGUAUUGUUUCACGUAGCGAUUAAAUCAUUAUCGUGACGAGUUUACUUAACAUUUUACUAGAAUUUACUCUUAGAUUUAUAAUUCAAUUUUUUUUUAAAAAUAAAAUUAUACCAUUCUAAUACAUGAGAAAUUAUUGCAUGAUGAUCUUGGCUGCAUGGACUCACAGAAUGAUGAGUUUCAUAUGCGGGCGUGACUAGCCUAAUAAUAUUUUUAGCCUAAAAACCGAAAUUUAAAAAAUAAUAUUAUUUUCUCCUUUUCUCUUAAACUUCAAAAAAAAACAAAAAAAUCGACCAUGCAAAGUCUCUAGAAAAUAAACAGUCUUGAUUGCCCAAUCAAUUUACAGUAAAAAACAUGCACAGGUCAAAACCAACGAUUCUGACUGUCCUUCAUUUUCACUACAGCUAAAAGAACACUGGAAGUCCCUCUACUUUUUUGGUUUAGUCAAUUUAACCCUCAUACAAAUAAAUUUAUCAAAUUGACCCUUAUGCUUCCAAUUUUGGGAUACCAUACGCUCUCCAACGACCUCCGUCUGUGAUGAUAAGUGACUGUGGUUUUUUCUGGAAAAUUUCUAUGGUGGUUUGUGAUUGUAGCUGUGUAAAUACAAUUUGAUAUAAAAAUUUUAUGUAGAAUUCUUUUGGUAAUCUUUUCUUUUUCAUUCAUAUAUUGUUUUUUCUCUCUGUUGAAUUCAACUAUUUGCAUUGCUUUCUUCUUGUGUUUCCAAAAUAGUAAAUAUUAUAAAUAUUUUUUUAGUUUGACAAAACAAUUAAUAUUAAUUCAUACAAAUUGAAAGGAAUUAUUUUAUUAUUUGUUUGGUUAUUUUAUUUCAAUAACUAACUUUUAAAUAGUAUAGGAGAUAUUUAUUUGGUCGGCUAAUGUGUUUAGUCAAACUAACAAUAGAUUUGGAAGGACGGGCCAAUGUAACCUACAAUUGAAAUCACAAGGGUUGAUUUGAAACAAUUAUUUUCAUAGUGUGUAAUUUGACCGUCUUUAUAAAGUAAAGGAACUUCUGGUCAUUUUUAGUCGAACAAUCCGUCUUUAGCACACUUUCCAUGUAUAUUCUUCACAGUUAGUAUUAUAAAUCUUUCAAAACCUUAACUUAAACCCCAAUUCAUAACCCUAAUUCUCAUUUUUUAAAUCCCUCUCGCCUGGGUUUCCUUUUCUCUCUAUAUUUUUGUGUUUUUUUUUGCAGAAAAUGGAGGGUCUUCUUUGCUCAAACACUGUCGUUUUGGAGAGCUUCCUCUCUUCUUUAAUGGAAGCUGUAGUGCUUGAAACAGCCAUUGCUGCUUCGAAGGCGCUUGCUUUGUCACUUUUCAUGGUAUAAUGUCUCUGCUACUUUGCAUAAUUUGUUUAUUACAGCUUCAAUUUGUCAAAAGUUUGAAGCUUUUUUUGGUUUUGAAGCUUUUUUGGUUUUUCACAUGUUUAUGAUGUUUUUUUUUUUGCUUCUUUAUGUGUAAGUUUUGAGAAAAAGACUGUACAUUGAAUAUGUGGAUCUGUGUUGUACUGGGUUUUUUUCUUACUUUUUUAAUGAAGAAAGUUAGGAUUUUGUUAUUUUUAGCCUUUUUUUUCUUUAGUACAAUUGGAGUAGUUAUGAUGUAGGUUUAGAUUAUUGUGUUUAAAGGAGCUUCUUUUUGGAUGUGGGGUUUGUGUUAUGCUACCCUCUAAGGUGCUAUUUUUUACUAGGGUUUGGACUGACUUUUUGUUCUUUGUUUAUUUUGCUUUCAUGGUAAUUGUCUAAUCGGUCCCUCUUUUGUUCUUCAUCUGUGUUUUUGGCUUGUUUUAUUCUUUUUUUUUUUCUUUAAAGCUGCUUUGUUUUGUUGAUGUAAGUUUGAUAGUGAGCUAGUUUUUUUGUUUAUUGAAUGUGUCUCUGAUAUGAACUAGUAAUGUGAGGUAGGUAGGAGCUUAAGAGAGAAGUAAUUUUUAUUUUAACUCUUGAGGGUCGAGAAAACAGAGCAACUUUCAGAGUCGGUUAUGAUAAUUUAUGUUCUGAUAACGUUGGUGGGUGAAAGAUUUGCGAGUUCUGGUAGGAAAUUGAAUUAUAAAUAUUGUAACCUUUAUAACUGAAUGAUUUCCCUUUUCUUCUCUUGGUUCCAUUGUGUUGUUCUAUCUAGGCCUGGACAUUCCCUUUGCAUAAGUUUUGACAUGGACCUUUUUCUUUUUUCUUCUUAAAAACUAAACCACAACUUUGUUAAACUGGAUAGCAUAAUAUGUAUUGGAAUAGAAUGUAUACAAGUGUCAAAUUAAAUGAAUGAUAAACAGUAUUAGAGCUGGAAGCUCAUUUAAAGUAAAUGGAGACUGACACAUGUUUUGAGAAUGCUUUGCUCUUCCAUACUUGUCAGUUAUCAUUGAAAUGAAUUCAACCUGUUGCUCAAUCAUUGCAUUUGUUCCCGGUGCUUGUUGGAGGGCAAUUUGUUUCUUCCAACUGGUCUCUUAAUUGAUCUGAAGUUUGUCCUUGUUUUUACCAGAUAGGUUCUUUGCCUACUGGAUCCAGUGUCUUCCCAGAAGAGUCUGGCACAAGUCAAGGGUUAGUGAUCUCAUUUAUUUGUCCUUGAUGGUGUUUAUGUGCUCUGUUGUUUUAGAUGAAUUGAUAACUAGUCUUGUCCUGCAGGUUUCCUUUGACUGAGCUUCACACAAAGAAGAAACCUGAUCCUGACAAUCAAGAUGGCAGUGAUACCGAGGAUGAUGAAGAGGAUGGCGAUGAGGAUGGCCAAGAUGAUCAGGAUGAUGAUGAAGAAGGUGAUGAUGAGGAUGAGACUGGCAAAGAAGGCAAGGAUGGUGACGGUCCAGAGGGUGAGCCUGAGGCCAAUGGUGAUGGUGGCAGCGACGAUGAUGACGAGGAAGAUGGUGAUGAUGAGGAAGAUGAAGACGAUGAGGAUGAUGAAGAUGAUGAGGAAGAUGAAGAUGCCGAUGAUGAUGACGAGGAAGACGAGGAAGAUAUUCCCCAGCCACCAGCUAAGAGGAGGAAAUGACUAAAAUCAUCAUCCUUUCUGUUCU